AGCUUAAAACCCAAAGGACUUGGCGGUGCCUCACACCCACCUAGAGGAGCCUGUUCUAGAACCGAUAAUCCACGUUAAACCUCACCGCUUCUUGCCACUACCGUCUAUAUACCACCGUCGCCAGCUUACCCCGUGAGGGUGAAAAAGUAAGCACAAUUGGUACAACCAAAAACGUCAGGUCGAGGUGUAGCGAAUGAAGCGGAAAGAAAUGGGCUACAUUUUCUUAAAAGAAUAUACGAAAGACCUAAUGAAACAAAGUCAGAAGGUGGAUUUAGCAGUAAGAAAAACCAAGAAUAUUUUUCU
Molecule: ribosomal RNA, 303 nt
Filed under: Neoceratodus forsteri (Australian lungfish)
Lineage: Eukaryota; Metazoa; Chordata; Ceratodontiformes; Ceratodontidae
Description: partial rRNA small subunit
Rfam family: Bacterial small subunit ribosomal RNA
Source: RNAcentral